This is a long non-coding RNA of Lathyrus oleraceus (garden pea), 1683 nucleotides long. RefSeq lists it as uncharacterized. NCBI's taxonomy places the organism in Eukaryota, Viridiplantae, Streptophyta, Magnoliopsida, Fabales, Fabaceae. The transcript has 2 exons. The record is from RefSeq and is a predicted model, not a curated record.
GAAACAUAAGCUAAUGUUUCUUCCUCUCUCUCUCUACAUUUUCGCCACCGUCCUCCGCGAUGGGUUCCGGCGAGAGUGGCUGGAAUCAUAAAACCUACAUACCACCACAAUCGAUUUUCUCUCGUCGACUAAAAUACACUCUCUAAAUUCUCAUACUACAAACCAACAUAAUUUAACUUCAGUUUCUGAGCAAGAAUCCUAAAUGUUCAAAGUUAAAUUAGACACCAACCAUUCACCCAUUUAAGCGAUUAGUAGAGGGUUGUUGAUCAGGGAGCAUAAGGAACAUACUGGUAACAAGAAAAAUGCAAAGAGAUUGAAGAAAAUAUAAUAUACCAACGGAUGGGAGAUGUCCUCCAGUUAGUGUUAAAUUAUUAUUUUUGGAGAAGAGAGCAAGAAACCCAAAGAACUUUAAUCUUCAGGUAUUGUUCUUUUUCAUAUUUCUUCUGUGCUUUUGAUGGUUGUAUGUUCUUCUUCUUCUACCUUUUCUUUUGAGGUGAUAAUGUCAGUUGUUGUUAUUAAUGGUUAUUCUGAGUAGAUGAGUGUAGAAAGAGAUGAUAGUGAAGUUUUGUGCAAUAAUGGAGAGAGGUUUAGGUGAUUUGUGAGUGAUGGUGAGGAUGGAAUUCUGCAUAGUGAGUUUAUGGAUAGAGUUGUUGACGUGAUGAGUGAAAAUGGAGGGUUUAAAUAGGUGAGAGUUGUAGGUAAAGAUAGUUAGAAAAGUUAGGGAUUAGUGAUUUAGCAGCUGAGGAUAGUGAUCCUCGUGAGAGAUUAAGGAAGGACUAGGAUUGAGUCUCAUUGAAGUUGCUAGAAUUUGUGUUUCUAUAGUGGAAAAUUCAGUGUAAAUGUGUUAGUUUGAAAUGCACAUUUGAAUGGAAUUUGGUGUGAAUUUAGUUUGAAUAGCCAUGGAUAUAAUUCUAAAUAUUGGGGCAACAAGAGAUGUGGUGGCUAAAGAAAAAGGAAAAGUCCCCUGCCACUAGCAUUUUCAACAACAAAAAAUUGAGCAUGAAAAUAAGCCUCUAAACCCUGAUUAUCAUUGGAUAAAAACUGAAUAGCCAGGGCAUGUGCACUUUACCUUCACCAACAAACGCACUAGCGGCAGCAGCAGCUGACAUGGCAGAUGAUUUACCUGACUUAGCCGAUGCAGCUACAACAAUCGUAGCAGCCACUGUGGUUGUAUUCAAUGUUUCUGCAAAUGAUUCAAUGUAGAGCCAUGUAGCAAAAUCAUAUCCAUUGACGAAUGACCAACAACUCUCACCUGGACCAAGCAAACCAGAACUUUUACCAUCAAACUCAAAGGUGCAAGUUGGUACUCGCCCAUAACUGUAGUUGCACAAUCAACAUCUUGAUCUUGCAGUUUAGUCCACCUUCAAGAAGUUUCCGGCACGGUGGUUCAAUCGUGAGGCUCGAAUCAAGGAUUGGAUGGAAAUGAGAGAGAAAGUGUGGAAAGUCAAUAGCAAGUCAUAAUUGUGUUAAGUGGUCAUUGGUCAAUAGGUCAACACUGUUGACCAAAAUUUAACUAUUUUUUUUUUUGUAAUUUUCUUCAUGUAAUCUCUUUUGUAGUGGUUUUGUAAUAGUUUUUGUAGUGGUCUUGUAAUAGUUUUUUGUAUUGGUCUUGAAAUUGUAAUAGUUUGUACUUGAAUGUAAUGACAACUUAAAUGUACUUUGCAACAAAAAAACCUCUUGUAA